Molecule: long non-coding RNA, 1532 nt
Organism: Phasianus colchicus (ring-necked pheasant)
Lineage: Eukaryota; Metazoa; Chordata; Aves; Galliformes; Phasianidae
Source: RefSeq, a predicted model, not a curated record
GCCUCUCUGUUGUUUCAGUGCCUGCAUGAUUCUACAAAAUGUUUGGAUUCAUAACAUGGCAAAAAUAUCUUACUGAAAUCUAAGAGGGAAAUUAUUUCUGUUUCUGAAAGGACACACGUUGCUCCCGACAGAGUGAACUCUUUCUUUCCAUAGACAAAACCCCAAAUGCCUGUUUUUCUCUAAGUAGAUAUUAGUUUCAGCCUGAGGAAAACAACAACAAAUCAGGAAAGAAGGAAAGUUGAGCUUCCUGCAGAAAGCCCAGUGUUUAUCUGUCCAGUAACUGCAUACUAACUCCAGGAAUAAAACAGCUGCUGUCCUUGCACACAGGCAGCUGUCUUGGAAUUUAAAGAGGAAAUGAAACGAGGAAAGGAAACAAAAAAAAAUUAAAACAUCAUGUAGAAAACCAUGUCAGAGGUGCAAAGAAGCAGAAGUUCUCAUUCAACAAAGCAUUAUGUGAUUGUUUGGUAGAUUAGCAGAUAUAUAAGUGAAAUUCUGGUUCUUCUGCAGAUAAAUGUCAUAGUUUGGAGGCUGGAUCUUUCUUACAGACCAAGGUUUGCAUGUAUAUCUUGUUUGCUUUAAAAUGUCUUAUCUUCCCUCAUGCUGUCUGUGGGAGAGGCGGAAUCCUAAUCCAUAGAAACAUGACCAGUGCUAUGUCAAGGCUGUCCUUAAAGUACAAAUCCAGAGGAACUUCACAAUCUGGUAGGAUCAAGUGGUCACUAAGGCAGUUCUGGCUACAGAUCAAGUUGAAACAGGAAGUUUUACUUUGUCAUCACCUUUAUGGGGCUCAUUCUUGCAGCCCUAGGAGGAGGUGCCAGUCUCACUUUUCACAGGUGAAGAAGAUAAUGAAGGAGAUCUUCUGGCAUCCUUUAGCCACCACCAUCUGUCUCUAAAAGGCCUUUGUCUGCAGCUGGGGCAUAGUACUGAUGCAAAACUUUCUCCUGAUAUGCCUCUCUUCCUUCUCUCCCUAGUCCUCCCAUCAAGAGUGAAACAUCCCUGUUUAUGGAGGUGCUGUGCAACGCCGAAGAAUGUCUUCCUGAGCAGGAGCUGUUGGUCAUCUGAUACAGCCCAGUUUCAGUGUCCCUGCAUCCCUGCUGCUGCUGUCAUCAGCAGUCCCAGCUGAGAAGCUCUGGAGCUGAAGAGGCCUUCUGGAGUUGAGCAUCUCCUCAACUGUCCUCUUCUUUGAGGAAAAACUUCUGUUUGGAGUAGGGGUAUGUGGGAACUAUUGGUUCAAUGGGAGACAUGCAGCGAUGCGUGUACAUGUGCGUGCCUGGGAAAAAACAUGUCCUGCAGUGCUGAUGGAUUCUGAGAAAGCCAGUGUUGGCCAUCGUGUCUCAAAAUAGCUCAUGAAAACAGGCUGCCUUACACUGAUUCCAUACUCUGUGACGGAGAUGUGCAGCCCUGAAAUACAAUUUGUUAUGCAAUUUAUCAAAAUAGUUAUCCUCCAGGGGGUUUUAGAACCCUGGAAAGAAAAGACGAGGAAAAAAUAGGGAGCUGUUUUCUUCGGCAAGAUAAAUAGCAAAUUGUUUUCUGAA